GGCUGGAUAGUUCAGUGGCAGAAUUCUUGCUUUGGGAAAACGCAUAUGUAAGAGGUCCUGGGUUCAAAUCCCAGUUCAGCCC
RNAcentral lists this transfer RNA (82 nucleotides) under Ramalina farinacea. It matches the Rfam family "tRNA". Rfam says of the family: Transfer RNA (tRNA) molecules are approximately 80 nucleotides in length. The record is from Rfam by way of RNAcentral. Lineage: Eukaryota; Fungi; Ascomycota; Lecanoromycetes; Lecanorales; Ramalinaceae.